UCUAAUGUGGCAGACUAAUGCAAUGAAUUUAAAAUUCACACAUAAAUAAAUUUAUUUCUUUAGAA
This 65-nucleotide transfer RNA is filed under the name Bolbonota sp. CPL-2004a. RNAcentral's name for it is "tRNA-Leu". The record is from RNAcentral. Lineage: Eukaryota; Metazoa; Arthropoda; Insecta; Hemiptera; Membracidae.